AACGCAAAUGGCGCUGCUGGAUAUACUGGCAGCACGCCUCUCUCAGUAUCGGUUCAAAUCUCAACGCUCCCUUCCGAGGGAGGGUUGGACGAUGAGAGUCUGACUUAGUGUUAGUCUCUUGAAAUGCAUGGAGCGGCUUUUCUCUAGCACUCGUGACGUGACUGCUGACCUUUGGUCUUCUUACGUGGACGAGAUGAGGCGGCUGCGUGCGUGGCCUUCACAGCGAAGGCCACAAAGAGUUUCGACUCUUUACCCUCAAACUAUGAUCUGAGAUGAAGCGAGAGGACCCGCUGAAUUUAA
This 300-nucleotide unclassified non-coding RNA is filed under the name uncultured soil eukaryote. RNAcentral describes it as "sequence contains 5.8S rRNA gene, ITS2, 28S rRNA gene". The record is from RNAcentral.